UUGAGCCAUUUAAGAUAUCUUGCUUCUGAGGAUCAGAUAAGGAAGAGCUAUCGUGAUGCUGCAUUGAGGCAUCAUCCUGACAAGCUGGCUUCUCUUCUUCUAGCUGAGGAAACUGAAGCUGCAAAACAAGCUAAGAAGGAGGAAAUAGAAAACCACUUCAAAGCUAUUCAGGAAGCAUAUGAGGUUCUUAUUGACCCUGUUAGAAGAAGGAUUUAUGAUUCCACAGAUGAAUUUGAUGAUGAAAUCCCAACUGAAUGUGCUCCACAAGAUUUUUUUAAGGUUUUUGGACCUGCAUUUUUGAGGAAUGGACGUUGGUCUGUCACCCAACCUGUCCCUUCAUUGGGUGAUGAGAAUACUCCAAUUAAAGAAGUGGAUAGCUUUUAUAAUUUCUGGUACAGCUUUAAAAGCUGGAGAGAGUUCCCACAUGCUGAUGAGUUUGACCUUGAACAAGCUGAAUCUCGUGAUCAUAAGAGGUGGAUGGAGAGGCAGAAUGCGAAACUGUCAGAGAAGGCUAGAAAAGAAGAAGUAGCUAGGGUACGCACACUUGUUGACAAUGCCUAUAAGAGAGACCCUAGAAUCCUGGGAAGAAAAGAAGGAAGAAGAAGAAGACAUAUUUUCAGAAAUUGUAAGAAGUAGCUAGGGUACGCACACUUGUUGACAAUGCCUAUAAGAGAGACCCUAGAAUCCUGGGAAGAAAAGAAGCAGAGAAAGCAGAGAAGCAGAAAAAGAAGGAAGCUAAACUUCUGGCAAAGAAAUUACAGGAGGAAGAAGCAGCUAGGAUUGCUGAGGAGGAAAAGCGUAAGAAGGAGGAGGAGGGAAAAAGAGCUGCCGAAGUUGCUUUGCAGCAGAAGAAGUUGAAGGAGAAAGAAAAGAAAUUGUUGCGAAAAGAGCGGAGCCGUUUAAGAACCCUUGCAGCUCCUGUUUUGUCCCAACGUUUGCUUGGGCUAGCUGAUGAUGAUAUAGAAGGGUUAUGCAUGUCACUUGACAUUGAGCAACUGAGAAACUUGUGUGAUAAAGCCGAUGGAAAGGAUGAGCUUAUGAUAGCUGAACUUCUCAGGGAGGCACUUGGACAUGACCACAACUUGAAAUAUGAGAAUAAGGGCGAAAAAAGUAAGUCACAUCAAAAUGGUUCUCUGGAGGGUAAAAGACAAGUUCCUCUGAUGAGCAGUGAGAAAAGGGAGAAACCUUGGAGCAAGGAAGAAAUUGAUCUUCUGAGAAAGGGAAUGCUGAAAUUUCCUAAAGGAACAUCUCGAAGAUGGGAAGUUAUGUCAGAGUAUAUUGGUACCGGAAGGACAGUUGAAGAGAUCUUGAAGGCUACAAAAACAGUUCUGCUCCAGAAGCCUGACUCUGCUAAAGCCUUUGACUCCUUUCUUGAGAAGAGAAAGCCCGCACCGACUAUUGCAUCUCCUCUUUCCACAAGAGCAGAAGUAGAGGGGGUAGAAAACAGUAGCAAGCCUGAAAGUGGAAGUGCUAAGCUAGCCGAUUCUCAGGAGUCCCCCAGUCAAAACACAAACAGCCAGAACACUGAGGAUGCACCUACUGCAAACGGGGUUUCCUCAAGUUCCGAUUCAGACAUAUGGUCUGCUGUUCAAGAAAAAGCUUUAGUUCAAGCUCUGAAAACUUUCCCCAAGGAAACCAGCCAGCGGUGGGAACGAGUUGCAACUGCAGUCCCUGGGAAGACCAUGAACCAGUGUAAAAAGAAGUUUGCAUUACUCAAAGAGAACUGUUAGUUCAAGCUCUGAAAACCUUCCCCAAGGAAACCAGCCAGCGGUGGGAACGAGUUGCAACUGCAGUCCCUGGGAAGACCAUGAACCAGUGUAAAAAGAAGUUUGCAUUACUCAAAGAGAACUUCAGGAACAAGAAAGGUGCUGUAUGAGGUUAGUGGUGGUUGAAACUUCUGAGUCUAGUUUUUCGAUUUCUAUCUUUUUAUUGUUCAGGAGCAGCCGCAACUAGCUCACACGUGAAAUGUGACAACAUACCAUCCACUUUCGCGGCCAUUUUUGUCAUUAAGCAGUAGAAUCUACAUAUCUUACUAUCAGUACGGCAUUGUGAAGUUACUAUACUGGAAUACAUUAAUAUUUGAUGGGAAAUACUGAUGAUACCUAAAGUUAUGCAUCUUUCUAUUUAUUUUGAUGGUUGGCCUCGUAAUUUAGAUUCCU
RNAcentral lists this long non-coding RNA (2159 nucleotides) under Nicotiana benthamiana. Its description in RNAcentral is "long non-coding RNA (NBEN_LNC007649)". The record is from RNAcentral. Lineage: Eukaryota; Viridiplantae; Streptophyta; Magnoliopsida; Solanales; Solanaceae.